GAUGAACGCUGGCGGCGUGCCUAAUACAUGCAAGUCGAGCGAACGGACGAGAAGCUUGCUUCUCUGAUGUUAGCGGCGGACGGGUGAGUAACACGUGGAUAACCUACCUAUAAGACUGGGAUAACUUCGGGAAACCGGAGCUAAUACCGGAUGAUAUUUUGAACCGCAUGGUUCAAAAGUUAAAGACGGUCUUGCUGUCACUUAUAGAUGGAUCCGCGCUGCAUUAGCUAGUUGGUAAGGUAACGGCUUACCAAGGCAACGAUGCAUAGCCGACCUGAGAGGGUGAUCGGCCACACUGGAACUGAGACACGGUCCAGACUCCUACGGGAGGCAGCAGUAGGGAAUCUUCCGCAAAGGGCGAAAGCCUGACGGAGCAACGCCGCGUGAGUGAUGAAGGUCUUCGGAUCGUAAAACUCUGUUAUUAGGGAAGAACAUAUGUGUAAGUAACUGUGCACAUCUUGACGGUACCUAAUCAGAAAGCCACGGCUAACUACGUG
This 497-nucleotide ribosomal RNA is filed under the name uncultured bacterium. Its description in RNAcentral is "partial 16S ribosomal RNA". It matches the Rfam family "Bacterial small subunit ribosomal RNA", at positions 28 to 507 of the family's 1533-position model. The record is from RNAcentral.